RNAcentral lists this ribosomal RNA (254 nucleotides) under uncultured bacterium. RNAcentral describes it as "partial 16S ribosomal RNA". It matches the Rfam family "Bacterial small subunit ribosomal RNA", at positions 524 to 776 of the family's 1533-position model. The record is from RNAcentral.
UACGAAGGGGGCUAGCGUUGUUCGGAAUUACUGGGCGUAAAGCGCACGUAGGCGGGUUUGUAAGUAGGGGGUGAAAUCCCAGGGCUCAACCCUGGAACUGCCUUCUAAACUGCAAGCCUGGAGGUCAGGAGAGGCGAGUGGAAUACCGAGUGUAGAGGUGAAAAUUCGUAGAUAUUCGGUGGAACACCAGUGGCGAAGGCGACUCGCUGGACUGAUACUGACGCUGAGGUGCGAAAGCGUGGGGAGCAAACAGG